Small nucleolar RNA from Quercus robur (English oak), 107 nucleotides. RefSeq annotates it as small nucleolar RNA Z107/R87. The record is from RefSeq and is a predicted model, not a curated record. The transcript has a single exon. Lineage: Eukaryota; Viridiplantae; Streptophyta; Magnoliopsida; Fagales; Fagaceae.
GAUCGCAGUGAUGACCACAAGAAAUUCAAGCUCAACAGACCGGAAUGCAGGGUUCUCUACAUUCUAGAGAACUUUGCGUGUCGACAACCCCGCUGACCUGAGCGAUC